UGGGGCUGUAGCUCAGCGGUAGACACCUGCUUAGCAUGUAUGAGGCCUGGGUUCAAUCCCCAGCACCACAA
This 71-nucleotide transfer RNA is filed under the name Marmota monax (woodchuck). RNAcentral describes it as "tRNA.Ala". The record is from RNAcentral. Lineage: Eukaryota; Metazoa; Chordata; Mammalia; Rodentia; Sciuridae.